This 1056-nucleotide ribosomal RNA is filed under the name Triticum aestivum (bread wheat). RNAcentral describes it as "partial small subunit ribosomal RNA". The record is from RNAcentral. Lineage: Eukaryota; Viridiplantae; Streptophyta; Magnoliopsida; Poales; Poaceae.
AUGCACUCUCCACUACAAAGGCCAAAAUCGCCGACUCGCCGGGUCCAACCCGACAGCGGCUCCACCGCGUCAUCGGACCCACGAGCUCGUCGCGACCAGCGCCAAGUUCUCCAUGAACGGCAACAAGAGGACGCUCGUACUCGCAUCGAGCGCCGAAGAGAAGCGCGGCGUCAAUCUGACCAGCGCGCCGGGCCCUCUGUCGACAUGCACGCGCCGGGGGAGCCAGGUGACUUGCCGUACGCGGUAGGUUGCCCUGCGUUCACCCAUGAGCUGCGGCAGGUCCAGUGGCCCAGCAAGAUAAACUUCAAACUAGACGUACCAGAGAAGUACGACGGCAAGACACAUCCGUCGGAGUUCCUCAGCAUCUACACCAUCGCGGUGCAGGCUGCCGGGGGACGGGACGACAAGAUCCUUGCUAACUACUUCCCGCUGGUGCUCAAGCCCAACGUCAGGUCCUGGCUCAUGCACUUGCUGGACAACUCCAUCUCCUCUUGGGAAAAUCUAUGCCAUCAGUUUGUCGGCGCCUUUACAGGCGGCCACAAGCCACAUGGCCAAGAGAGCGAUCUUCAUCUGCUCGCCCAGAAGGAAGGAGAGCCACUGCGCAAGUACAUUCAGAGAUUCAGCCGUGUACAGCACAACAUCCCAGACGUCCACCCUGCCGCGAUCAUCAGCGCGUUCCAUCAGAACGUGCGAAACCGCAGGAUGAGGGAGGAGAUGGCGAUGUGUAAGAUCAGAAACGUCAGCGAGCUUUACGCCCUGGCCGACAAGUGUGCGCGCACUGAAGAGGGGAGGAGGCUCCCCGGAGAGAAUACAGGAGCAGGAGGAUCCGAGAGUAAGGAUGCCGCCCCGGCAAGGAAAGGCCGGCGGCGGAACAACAGAAGGAAAAAGGGCAAGGAAGUGCUAGCUGUCGAGCAGACCGGCAACGGAGGUGGCGUCAAGGAAGCUAAAGCUGGUGGCUCCAGCAAGGAGGCCCAGCCUGUGGCAGCCGCCGACAAGCAGGACAGCUCCGGCAAGCAGUAUUGCAAGAUCCACCGCACCAAGGGUCACGAUCUCUAG